AACACCCAGUCAGAACAGUGAGAACACCAUCAAAGCACAAUUUUUUCAUCAGUCUUCUUCUCUCCUCGAAAGAUAAGUACCUUCAUCUUCAUCCACAACCAACCUCCGUGUCCGACUUAAAUGCAAAUCAGGCAUCCAAUCGAAGUGCCCAGUGGAUUUCACCAUCUCUCUACUGAAACAUGCAUCCCUGAUCCCCAAUCAUCAACCCCUCAACUCCCGACCCCAAAAUUUCUUCAACCAUCGGAACCCUAACUCGCUCUCUCCAACUUAUUUGCGACCCCCUCGUACUCCACCGCACUCUGACACAAUUCCUGCUUUGUAGGCUUAGCCUCUACAAAGAACCGAAGAAGUAGUUAGUGAGGAGAGGAAGAUGAAUGAGAGGAAGUAGUUAGCAAUCGUCUCCUUCUCACGGAUGAGAGCUUAAUCGCAGUCCCCUUGCCUCAUCGAGUUUCGGUUCCAGAAGACUGAGAUUUGCCUCUCGGAUUUCCCAUACGGCGUGCCGUUUCUGGUUUGAGAUAUCGCUUGGUUCUUCGAUUCGAUCAAUAUGAGUGAUGUGGAUUGGGAGUCAUUGCUGAGGAGGACGAACGAUGUGGAGUUAGGUGCCCAAAAUUGGGAAGUUGUCACUGGUAAACAUCGAAUAUCGGUGAUUUGGGUAUGGUCAAUGCUUCAUAACUCUCUUCCUCCUUGGUUCAGUGUGGCUCCUAUGAUGGAAUGGCCUGAUGUUCAUUACAGGACUUUGGCCCGCCUCAUAUCCAAGCAUGUCUGGCUCUACUCUGAGAUGCUUGCUGCCGAAACCAUUGUUUAUCAGAAGGACAAUCUGAUCGGAAAGAGACAUGCGUCUAAGUGUGUAACAUAGACAAGAUGUCCUCAUGAGUGCUUAGUUUGAAGGAGAAGGCCUGAUUGAUUUUGCAGAUUAUCCUGAUAAUGUUCACUUAAUGCAAAUGCAAUGGCAGGCUACUGUAGGACCAUGUAACACACCAGAGCCGAAUGCUUGGAAUGCAGUAGAGAAAAGCAAAUGGAGUAGGAAGAAGAUUCAGGUUUGUAUUCAAGAGCAUCAAACUCUGUUUCUGAGCCUGUGAUAGAUGUACAACUGAAUAAAUUCAUUCAAGCUAUGUGGACUCAUGGCUGACAAAAUGAGGGACAUGCUGCCCCGUGUGCAAGCAUGAUAUGAGAACAAAAUCUGUGAAUCCUGAGUUAAAGGUAGCUGAGGUUGAAUGCAAGUUGGCAAUAGGUUCUGUUGAACAUGUUGCUUUGUCUUUCCCAGCUCGUUCAUGGCACUCCACUAGGGCAUGCUAAUAUGCUCGUUUCUAUCUAUGCCGCACUUGAGGAGAAAGCAAAAGUGUCAUUUCCUGUGAAAGAUGAAAUUGAAACAGUGAAGCAGGCUUUGGGGAGUUGUGUAGCAUGGCCUAAACACUUGGUCAUAAAAUCACAUGUCAAGAAACCUGCCAUGCCGAGGAUAAUGUUGAGAAGAAGAAGAAAAGGAAAGAGAUAGGGGAGGAGAGGCAGCAGCUAAUACACCGAAGCGGAUACUGAUCAAGUGCGAAAUGAGUGGGGGAAGUUUGUUGUCAACACAUAUGUGCAUGAGCCAUGAAGUAGCACGCUUGUUGCUGGUCCAUUUUUGCUAAGGAAAACAUCUUUUUUUUGUGCUUCUCUGCUGCUGGUACAUUGUCAUGCACCAUGUGUUGCAUGUUUUGGAACAAUGGAUAUAUAUAUGUAUCAGCUUUUUGAUGUUCCAAGUAGAUGGGCAUGCACUAGAAUGCUUUUCUGGUUUAAAAUGUUGGGUUCAAUGA
RNA transcript from Rosa rugosa (rugosa rose), 1790 nucleotides. RefSeq lists it as uncharacterized. The transcript is spliced from 8 exons. The record is from RefSeq and is a predicted model, not a curated record. Lineage: Eukaryota; Viridiplantae; Streptophyta; Magnoliopsida; Rosales; Rosaceae.